RNAcentral lists this long non-coding RNA (1307 nucleotides) under Homo sapiens (human). RNAcentral describes it as "HSALNT0362536". The record is from RNAcentral. Lineage: Eukaryota; Metazoa; Chordata; Mammalia; Primates; Hominidae.
GAGCAACUGGCUUCACCUCUCUGAGCCUUUAUUUCCCACAUCUGCAAAGUGGUGCACAGUAAUACCCACGUUCCUGGCUCUGUGUAAGGAGCCAUGAGAGUGUAUUUAAAGGGCCCAGCACCCAGCUGCUCUCAGUAGAUGCUCAAGAGACAGUAACAACCCUAUCGUUAUAUGAGGUUCAAUGCAACUCAUCUGAUUCCCCUUCCAGUGGCUGGAGAACAUCCCACCUUCUGAGCCUUGGGGAGAAGCAGAGUGUGCCCUUUCCCUGCCCACUGGAGAAGCUGAAACAACAAAAACUCCCUUCCCUGGCCUCCCUGCAGUAAGUCAAAGAUGGUGUCGAAAAUGGUGAAAUCAAGAACUAGUGCUUAGAAUUAUGGAGAUUUAAAAACAGAAGAGACACCUCCCAGAGUUGCAAGUGGUCGCCUGUCCCAGAGAGCUGGUGAGAUGAGGUGGGGAGGUGGCAGCUGAGUUUUAUGGUGAGAAAGUGGAGUUCGAAGAUGUCAUCAGCCCAGGUCACACAGAUGGUGGAGACCAGUGUGGAGCCCGGGAGUGGGCUGAGCAGAGCAUCUGGACUUUGAGCUUCCAUCAGACCCUGAGAUAGUCACCUGUCCUGGCUGCCUGGUGACCCUGGUGUGCUAACGUGGCACUUAUCUUGCUCUAUGGAGGCCCCUGGGCCCCCUAAACACCAGGUGGGUGCCUUCAGCCAGCCCCAUACUGACCUGUGAAGCCCAGGUAUUGCUGGCCAACCCACCCCACUCACAGACAGAAGCAGUUCUCCAUCUUUUGGCUUUAGCAGAUCUGCUUCAUUUCUCCUCCCCACAAAGCCUGGACUUUGUUCUGGGGGUAUCCCUGUUUGCAGUGAAGCUUUUUCACUCAGUGCUCAAUCUGAGCCCAACUCCACCCCACAUCUCUGAUUCAUAGACUUUUGUGACUGCCUUGACCAGUAGAGUAUGGCAGAAGAUGCUCUGUAACUUCCCAGGCUAGAUCUAGAAAAUGCCACGCAUUUCUGCCUUGCUCUCCUGCGACAUCCACUCUUAGAACCCAGUUGCUGUGCUAAAAAGAACUCACAGACCACGUGGAGUGGAGCAGAUGGGUCAGUGUCCCAGGUGGCAGCCCGUGUCGGCCUCAGACCUGCACGUGAGGAUGCCCACCAGAGGGUUCCUGCCACCACCGUCAAGUCACCCCAGCCUUAAUCUUCCAGCCGGCGCCUCAGGCAUUAUGGGCAGAGGUAAACUGUCUCCAUGAUGCCCUUUCCAAAUUUCUGACCCACAGAAUCCAUGGCUAUAAUAAAAUGGCUGUCUUAUGUG